Orbicella faveolata is the source of this 1512-nucleotide long non-coding RNA. Lineage: Eukaryota; Metazoa; Cnidaria; Anthozoa; Scleractinia; Merulinidae. The record is from RefSeq and is a predicted model, not a curated record.
AGGAGUAUCUUCAAUUGAGGUCGAUUUACAGCUUUCCUUACAGGAAUUGAAACCAAGCUGGUAACCAGUGGAAAGUUUCCAUACGUGUAAUUGAUCUUCGUGGGACAAAUUUGGACGAAAACGUUAGCCAUUACUCUUGACUUGGUAUUCACCUGCGCUAAGAUGUUACAUCCAAAUUCUCAUUACCGACCAAGAUACGGGAUGCGUGUGAACUGACAAACAUAGCUCUCAUGGGUUAGUCCUUAAAAACGUGAUUUUCCCUUGUUUUACUAAUUUUUUCCAAGCUGUUUUUGUUAUCGUCACCAGUUCGCGUGUCAUAUUCUGCCUGUUUAUACUGCGGCGUCAGUGAUCAAAGACGCUUUGGAGCGUGUCCACAGAUCACUACAAUCUUGGACAAUUUAAAUCAAAAAUUAAGACCACCCCUUCCUCCAUUUCAAUGAUGGCAAAAGUGGCGCACUUUGGGUUUAGUGCCAGUUCAUCAUUGAUUCACGGGGAGGGGUGGUUUUAUUUCUUAAUUUAUUCUGUCCAAGAUUGUAGCUAACAGCCGAUGUUACUGGCGGUUACUCGCUUUUCUCCUCAGCGGGUAAAUCGGCGAUUGCCGGUUUGUUGGUGGAACCCGGCAGCUAUUGAGCAAGUCCCAUUUUCAAGCAACAAUGCCGUCAGACUCAGUAAGGACAUCCAAAAGAAGCAGCCAGCUUGCGCAAAGUCCGAAGACUGGAACAGCAUAUUGACGGAGCUAGACUUUGCACUGAAGUGAGUUCUCUGCCGGAAAGUGAUAACUCCGUGUACAAGAACGUCUUCUUUCAGAAUGUGAUUUCUCGGAAACAAGUUAAAAACUUGAAAUACAGCCCGUAACGAGAAUAAGGCAAACGAGGAAGGAUUACCUCUGCAGCACUGGACCUCUGGAAAUCAUUAUUACUUCUAUUGCUUCAAUUCAUUCCCAUAGACAUUGACGGUGUAAUGAAGGAAAACGUAUCUGACAAGUCUAGUUCAGUACACCACUACGCCAUGUCUAGCAAACCUCAUGUACCGAACUGAACUUCUGCAAUCUUGAUUGCUUUUGGUCACUGGUAACUAUCAUUCAGUUCAUUCAGUGGAAUCGGAACGUGAACACGAUUAUUCAAAAAUAUUGAUUUGCUGCUUGCAAAAGGACCAGGAUCGAGCUACAGCAAUACACUGAGGACAAACAGUGAGACAGGGAAAAGAGCCAGUGUUCUGAUGAUUAUAGGACAACUGACAACUCCUAUUUUAAUGGUCUAUAAACUCCGGAAGAUUUAUCAACUGCUAUGAAUGAACAGAGAAAAGUAAAACUCGUAAAUCCUUGACAGUGGGACAGACGACAAUCGACUUAAGUUUGGCCAAGAACUUAUGAGUUAUGGCAUUAUUAAUUUGCUUGAGAAAAAUCUUUACGUCUAACAAGAACAUCAUCACUUGCUUUCUUUCUGGUAUGGCUAUCAGAGCUGUUUGAAAUUUAAUCAGACUGAAUAUAUUAAAUGACAUUGAACGAGUUUU